GGCUCAAUGGUCUAGAGGUAUGAUUCUCGCUUUGGGUUUACGUCAAGUACGCCGACUCUCCUGCGAGAGGCCCCGGGUUCGAUCCCCGGUUGAGCCC
Colletotrichum eremochloae is the source of this 97-nucleotide non-coding RNA. Lineage: Eukaryota; Fungi; Ascomycota; Sordariomycetes; Glomerellales; Glomerellaceae. The record is from the annotation of a GenBank genome assembly.